UACAGAGGUCCCAAGCGUUGUUCGGAUUCACUGGGCGUAACGGGUGCGUAGGCGGUCGGGUAAGUCUGAUGUGAAAUCUCACAGCUUAACUGUGAAACUGCAUUGGAUACUAUCCGGCUCGAGGAAUGGAGGGGAGACUGGAAUACUUGGUGUAGCAGUGAAAUGCGUAGAUAUCAAGUGGAACACCAGUGGCGAAGGCGAGUCUCUGGACAUUUCCUGACGCUGAGGCACGAAAGCCAGGGGAGCAAACGGG
This 253-nucleotide ribosomal RNA is filed under the name uncultured bacterium. Its description in RNAcentral is "partial 16S ribosomal RNA". It matches the Rfam family "Bacterial small subunit ribosomal RNA", at positions 524 to 776 of the family's 1533-position model. The record is from RNAcentral.